AGCGAACGUUUGCGGCGGGCCUAACACAUGCAAGUCGAACGCACUAGCAAUAGUGAGUGGCGCACGGGUGCGUAACACGUGGGUAAUCAACCCUUCAGCCUGGGAUAACGACUCGAAAGGGUCGCUAAUACCGGAUACGGCGCGAGAGGCUUCGGCUUCUCACGAGAAAGCCACGCAAGGGGCACUGAAGGACGAGCCUGCGGCCCAUCAGCUAGUUGGUGAGGUAAGAGCUCACCAAGGCUAAGACGGGUAGCUGGUCUGAGAGGAUGAUCAGCCACACUGGAACUGAGACACGGUCCAGACUCCUACGGGAGGCAGCAGUGGGGAAUAUUGCGCAAUGGGCGAAAGCCUGACGCAGCCACGCCGCGUGAGCGAUGAAGGCCUCGGUCGUAAGACUCUGUGGGAGAGACGAAGAAAGACCUGUGAAGAGCAGGCCUUGACGGUAGUCUCCUUAGUCAAGCACCGGCUAA
Molecule: ribosomal RNA, 470 nt
Filed under: uncultured bacterium
Lineage: Bacteria
Description: bacterial SSU rRNA
Rfam family: Bacterial small subunit ribosomal RNA
Source: RNAcentral